CGUCAGAAGUGGUAUUCGAACCCACGCCCGCAUUCCUGGACCAGAACUCUCAACUCUCUGCAGCAGAGCAAGGGAACCCUUGAGUCUGGCGCCUUAGACCGCUCGGCCAUCCUGAC
Molecule: transfer RNA, 116 nt
Filed under: Araneus ventricosus
Lineage: Eukaryota; Metazoa; Arthropoda; Arachnida; Araneae; Araneidae
Description: tRNA-Leu
Source: RNAcentral